AUCAUGGCUCAGAACGAACGCUGGCGGCAGGCCUAACACAUGCAAGUCGAGCGAGACCUUCGGGUCUAGCGGCGGACGGGUUAGUAACGCGUGGGAACGUGCCUUUCACUACGGAAUAGUCCCGGGAAACUGGGUUUAAUACCGUAUACGCCCUUCGGGGGAAAGAAUUUCGGUGAAAGAUCGGCCCGCGUUAGAUUAGAUAGUUGGUGGGGUAAUGGCCUACCAAGUCUACGACCUAUAGCUGGUUUUAGAGGAUGAUCAGCAACACUGGGACUGAGACACGGCCCAGACUCCUACGGGAGGCAGCAGUGGGGAAUCUUAGACAAUGGGCGCAAGCCUGAUCUAGCCAUGCCGCGUGAGUGAUGAAGGCCUUAGGGUCGUAAAGCUCUUUCGCCAGGGAUGAUAAUGACAGUACCUGGUAAAGAAACCCCGGCUAACUCCGUGCCAGCAGCCGCGGUAAUACGGAGGGGGUUAG
This 475-nucleotide ribosomal RNA is filed under the name uncultured bacterium. RNAcentral describes it as "bacterial SSU rRNA". It matches the Rfam family "Bacterial small subunit ribosomal RNA", at positions 16 to 538 of the family's 1533-position model. The record is from RNAcentral.